AAUGCUGUCAGGAGCCAACAUGACACCCUUCAGUCCUGCAUCUUCUGUGGUCCCAGAUACUGCACACAACAGACGGAUCAGCAGCUCACUCUCAGGAACAGGGCUGCCAAUCCCCUAGAAUACACAAGCAAGUCCCAGCAAUGCUGGACCCUUUCCCUUCUCAGCUGAUCACUUGUUUCCAAGGCCCUUAUUUCCUGGGGCACAUGGCCUAUUACAUCCUCCCGAUGCCAGUUGCCGUGUCAGCCACGUUCUCUGACGGAAACAGUAGAAACGGACUGGGAUCAUGUCAGCAGAUGGAAGGGAGGAAGGGAGGAAGGGGGAGAAGGGAUCAUUAUUGCCAGGUGAUACAGAAGAGGGCUGAGCCGCCAGCCUUGAGAAGGGAGAAUCAUGCAGCCCUGGACUCUAGGGGUGAUUCAGGGAAAGCUGACUCAGCCCAAACACCUUCAGUCCCAGAGACAAAUUCCUGGAAGACUGGGGCAAGAGCCAACCUGAACAAGAAUGGAGGUGGAAAGGGUGGGAAGGAGGGAAGCUGUGAGCUACCUGAAGUGGGGCAUGGGGCCCCCCAGAGGGUGGGAUGCUAUGAAAGUGAAAACAUGCCUACACACCCUGCCUCAUUUAUCUAUUACUGCAUGACCCAGGCCCCCCAAAAUUGUUGUCUUAAAACCAUUACCAUCUGUGUCAUGAGUCUGUGGGGCGAGUUGGGUGGUCCUUCUGCCUCCCCUAGUCUAGCUGUGUCUGCAGUCACUGGGGGCUGGCCCGGGCUGGCCUAUCCUCCAGGCUCAUGUCCAGGCCACGGUGGGUGCCUGCUAUCAGCUGAGACUGUCAGUUGGAGCAUCUCCACCUCCCCUCAUAGGACCUCUCCAUGCACCACGGGCAUCUCAGCAUAGAGAGACCUCCCCACGCACCACGGGCAUCUCAGCAUAGAGAGACCUCCCCACGCACCACGGGCAUCUCAGCAUAGAGCGACCUCCCCACGCACCACGGGCAUCUCAGCAUAGAGUGACCUCCCCACGCACCACGGGCAUCUCAGCAUGGAGCGACCUCCCCAAGCACCACGGGCAUCUCAGCAUGGAGCGACCUCCCCACGCACCAUGGGCAUCUCAGCAUGGAGCUGGAGCAGAAGACAGGACAUUCGAUGGUGCAAGUGGAAGCUGCAUACAGGUCAAGAGCCAGCCUGGGAGGUCCCCAUGUCCCUCUGCCUCAUCCUGUUGACCACAGCUAAUCAUGGACUCACCCAAAUUUCAUAGGAGAGGGAACAGCCUCCACUUCUAGGUGGGAGCAGCCGAGAGGCCAUGCCUUCUUUAACCAGCACCCUCCUCUUCCUCCUUUCUAUUCCUCCCUCUCCAUUCUCUCUGCUUUCUCCAGUGCCAUCCACUGUCCACACUUGGCCCCGAGCAAGGGCAAGCAGAUAAAGACCCCUGAGAUCAGUGGUGAGAGGACUCACGCAUAUCCAGGACCUCUUUGGGGAAGGAGGACCCAAAGCUACAAAAUCCUAGGAAUGGCAGGAGGCGCGGGGAGAGGCAAGGGAGUGGAGAGUCCUGGCAAGCCCCCAGCACACACCCUGGGAUUAGGGAGGCUCCCAGCCAGCAAGAGGAAGCUUGACCCGGGGGAGCUGUCCCCUGAGCCCCAGCAGCCUCGCUGAGGCAGAGCCACGAGGCAUGUGGGCGUGCCAGGAAGUCCCCCUCACUUGAGGGCUCAGGUCCUGCAGGCCCAGAGCCUGCUGGGGGCAAGGGCCAGAUCCUUGGGCCUGCCUUCACGUGACUAAUUUCCUGGAGUCCUGCCAAGUACAGUCUGGGUCCAGGGCCUCUGUUAACCUUUUCUCACUCGGUUACACCUCGCUGGGCCCAAAGGUGUUGUAUUUGCCCUUUGGCUGCCAGAGACACACACCACAAGGGCUGUGGACCAAUGUCCUUUCCUCCAACCCCUCUCCACUGCCUCGUGACUGCAAAACACCCAUUCCUCCCUUGGGAGGGUGGGGACUCUGGCUGAUGGCUCAGCCCCACAUUCAGGGCAAAGGACAGUUGGGGAGGACCGAGCUGUCCACCCCCAGGUCUCCCACCGGACAGUGACCAACACCUGCUAAAUCCCUGAGGCUCCCUUCCUCCACUCCUCCUCAACCAUCUCAUAGAUUUUGGCAGCUGCCUCGCUCUCUCUGCCUCCACCUAGUACCCUCUCCCUCCAUCUCUCACCCCUUCCUAUCUUCCUCUCUCCCUCCUCCCACAAGGUCUCCCUGGGCACCUUCCAGGCGCAGGUGCUGCACCCCUAGAAAUGACCAGGGCUCAGUCCCUGAGCUGACGUCGCCCCUCCCAACCCUGCAGUCCAGGGGAGAGACAGAGCCAGCUGGCAAAGCCCUCAGCAAGUGGCAGCAAGACCCCCAGAAGACACUGCCAAGUGCUGGAAGAUGGUGGACCUUUCCAUCUGGAGAAAAGCUAUGAUAAAUAAAAAUAAAUAUUACUCAUCAAUAAAAAGAAAUGAGCUACCAAGCCACAAAAAGACAUGGAGCAACCUCAAAUGCAUAUUGCUAAUCUAAUUGGAAGAAGCCAGUCUGAAAAGGCUGCAUACUGUACAAUUCCAACUCUAUGACAUUCUGCAAAAGGCAAAACUAUAGAAACAGUAAGAUCAGUGGUUGCUGCGGGGGUUCGGGAUGAAUAGGUGGAGCACAGAGGAGUUUUAGGGCAGAGACACUAUUCUGUAGGAUCCUGUAAUGGUGGAUACCUCGCAUUAUUUCUGCAAACCCAUAGGAUGUACAACACCACUAGUGAACUCUAAUGUAAAUUAUGCACUUUAGUUCGUAAUAGUGUGUCAAUAUUGGUUAAUCAGUGGUAACAAACGUACUAUCCUCAUGCAAGAUGUCAAUAGGGGAAACUGGUGGGGAGGUGGGGGUGGAGGUAGCGAGGUCACUGCAAACUUGUUCAUUCUGUGCAAUUCUGUAAAUGCAAACCUGCUCUAAAACAGAAAGUCUAUUUUUUUUAAAUGGUACACAAAAUAAUAACAACGGGGCAUUUCUUGAGAUCUCUAGGGAACAUGUCGCCCUCUUGCCCACGCAUUUCAUGUUGGAUCCAGAAUGCAGCAGCAGCACUUUUCACAACUGCCAAAAACUAUGGCAAGCUCAAAUGUCCAUGCACUGAUGAAAGGAAUACCAAGAUGUAGAAUAUCCAAUAAUGGAAUAUUAUUCAGCCAUAAAAAGGAAUGAAGUAUUGAUCCACUAAAAACAUGGAUGAACUUUGAAAACAUGAUGCUAUGUGAAAGCAGCCAAUCACAAAAGCUCA
RNAcentral lists this long non-coding RNA (3269 nucleotides) under Pongo abelii (Sumatran orangutan). RNAcentral describes it as "lincRNA". The record is from RNAcentral. Lineage: Eukaryota; Metazoa; Chordata; Mammalia; Primates; Hominidae.